GACGAACCGUGCGAACGUUAUUCGGAAUCACUGGGCUUAAAGCGCGUGUAGGCGGGAGGGCACGUCGGUCGUUGAAAUCCCCCGGCUCAACCGGGGAAGUGGCGCCGAUACGACCCUCCUGGAGGAACGUAGGGGGACCUGGAACUUCCGGUGGAGCGGUGAAAUGCGUUGAGAUCGGAAGGAACGCCCGUGGCGAAAGCGAGGUCCUGGACGUUUUCUGACGCUGAGACGCGAAAGCCAGGGGAGCAAACGGG
This 254-nucleotide ribosomal RNA is filed under the name uncultured bacterium. Its description in RNAcentral is "partial 16S ribosomal RNA". It matches the Rfam family "Bacterial small subunit ribosomal RNA", at positions 524 to 776 of the family's 1533-position model. The record is from RNAcentral.